This 447-nucleotide ribosomal RNA is filed under the name uncultured bacterium. RNAcentral's name for it is "bacterial SSU rRNA". It matches the Rfam family "Bacterial small subunit ribosomal RNA", at positions 355 to 825 of the family's 1533-position model. The record is from RNAcentral.
UGGGGAAUCUUGGACAAUGGGCGCAAGCCUGAUCCAGCCAUGCCGCGUGAGUGAUGAAGGCCUUAGGGUUGUAAAGCUCUUUUGCCGGGGACGAUAAUGACGGUACCCGGAGAAUAAGUCCCGGCUAACUUCGUGCCAGCAGCCGCGGUAAUACGAAGGGGACUAGCGUUGUUCGGAAUCACUGGGCGUAAAGCGCACGUAGGCGGAUUUGUAAGUCAGGGGUGAAAUCCCGGGGCUCAACCUCGGAACUGCCUUUGAUACUGCGGAUCUCGAGUCCGAUAGAGGUGAGUGGAAUUCCUAGUGUAGAGGUGAAAUUCGUAGAUAUUAGGAAGAACACCGGUGGCGAAGGCGGCUCACUGGAUCGGUACUGACGCUGAGGUGCGAAAGCGUGGGGAGCAAACAGGAUUAGAUACCCCCGUAGUCCCUGAGCGGGCUGGCAAGGCGCAU